UGGGGCUUAGCGGGUGUUCUCCCCGUGUGC
This 30-nucleotide non-coding RNA is filed under the name Homo sapiens (human). Lineage: Eukaryota; Metazoa; Chordata; Mammalia; Primates; Hominidae. The record is from RNAcentral.